AGCAGCCGCGGUAAUUCCAGCUCCAAUAGCGUAUAUUAAAGUUGCUGCAGUUAAAAAGCUCGUAGUUGAAUUUCGGGACCAAUAUGUCGGUCGUGCCUCGGUACGUACUGGCGUCGUUGGUUUCUCCCUUCUGACGAACCAUGAUGUCAUUUAUUUGGUGUCAUGGGGAAUCAGGACUGUUACUUUGAAAAAAUUAGAGUGUUUAAAGCAGGCUCACGCUUGAAUACAUUAGCAUGGAAUAAUGAAAUAGGACGUUUGAUUCUAUUUUGUUGGUUUCUAGGAUCGACGUAAUGAUUAAUAGGGAUAGUUGGGGGCAUUAGUAUUCAAUUGUCAGAGGUGAAAUUCUUGGAUUUAUUGAAGACUAACUACUGCGAAAGCAUUUGCCAAGGAUGUUUUCAUUAAUCAAGAACGAAAGUUAGGGGAUCGAAGACGAUCAGAUACCGUCGUAGUCUUAACCAUAAACUAUGCCGACUAGGGAUCGGAUGAUGUUAAUUUUUUAAUGACCCA
This 507-nucleotide ribosomal RNA is filed under the name Glomus sp. Glo18. RNAcentral's name for it is "SSU rRNA". It matches the Rfam family "Eukaryotic small subunit ribosomal RNA", at positions 569 to 1078 of the family's 1831-position model. The record is from RNAcentral. Lineage: Eukaryota; Fungi; Glomeromycota; Glomeromycetes; Glomerales; Glomeraceae.